Molecule: non-coding RNA, 990 nt
Filed under: Gossypium hirsutum (cotton)
Lineage: Eukaryota; Viridiplantae; Streptophyta; Magnoliopsida; Malvales; Malvaceae
Description: Eukaryotic large subunit ribosomal RNA
Rfam family: Eukaryotic large subunit ribosomal RNA
Source: Rfam by way of RNAcentral
UCGCACAAGUCCAUCAUGGUUGCAAGUUCCCCUUCGCAACCCAUGACACUAGUAGCUGGUUCCCUCUGAAGUUUCCUUCAAGAUAGCUGGAGCCCUUAGAGAGUUCGAUCGAGUAAAGCGAAUGAUCAGAUGCAUCGGGGGAGCAACGCCCUCGACCUAUUCUUAGACUUUAAAUAGGUAGGACGGUGCGGCUGCUUCGUUGAGCCGCGCCACGAAAUCGAGAGCUCCAAGUGGGCCAUUUUUGGUAAGUAGAACUGGCGAUGCGGGAUGAACUGGAAGCCGGGUUACGGUGCCCAACUGCGCGCUAACCUAGAACCCACAAAGGGUGUUGGUCGAUUAAGACAGCAGGACGGUGGUCAUGGAAGUUGAAAUCUGCUAAGGAGUGUGUAACAACUCACCUGUCGAAUCAACUAGCCCCGAAAAUAGAUGGCGCUUAAGCGCGUAACCUAUACCCGACCAUAAGGGCAAGAGCCAGGCCUCGAUGAGUAGGAUGGCGCGGCAGUCGUCGCAAAACCUUUGGUGCGAACCCAGGCGGAGCGGCCGUCGGUGUAGAUCUUGGUGGUAUUAGCAAAUAUUCGAAUGAGAGCUUUGAAGGCCGAAGAGGGGAAAGGUUCCAUGUGAACGACACUUGCACAUGGGUUAGUCGAUCCUAAGAGACGGGGGAAGCCCGUCUGAUAGCGCGUUCAGCGCGAGCUUCGAAAGGGAAUUAGGUUAAAAUUCCUGAACUGGGACGCAGCGGCUGACGGCAAUGUUAGGGAGUCUGGAGACAUCGACGGGGGCCUCGGGAAGAGUUAUCUUUUCUGUUUAACUGCCUGCCCACCCUAGAAACGGCUCAGCCGGAGGUAGGGUCCAGCGGCCAGAAGAGCACCGCACGUCGCGUGGUGUCCGGUGUGCCCCUGACGGCCCUUGAAAAUUCUGAGGACCAAGUGCCAUCUGCGUCCGGUCGUGCUCAUAACCGCAUCAGGUCUCCAAGGUGAACAGCCUCUGGUU